RNAcentral lists this unclassified non-coding RNA (6258 nucleotides) under Portunus trituberculatus (swimming crab). RNAcentral describes it as "transmembrane protein 127-like, transcript variant X5". Lineage: Eukaryota; Metazoa; Arthropoda; Malacostraca; Decapoda; Portunidae. The record is from RNAcentral.
GUGGUGGUGGAGGAGAGAGGCUGCGGGGAGGGUCGGUGAGUCGUCGUCAGUGGAGAGACAGGAAACAGUGCCUAGAGUGGUGCCGGAGCCCGUUGAGAUGGCGCUGGAUGACUUGCGACGAAAGAUACCAGAGCCGAAACAGAUGCAUCACUUGAAGACAGCCCCGCAGAAUGGCCCCCAAAACAACAAUGGCCGGACAUAUUAGUAGUGCGGGGUUGCCAGUCAUCUAGCCCCACCCAGCCCUGCCUUUCCGAGCCUUGCCAAGCCCCUGACCCCUGCCCCGGUCCGCCAUGCAAGCCCCACCUAGUUACCCCAGUGGGAGGGCCCUGCGUCGGCGUCUCCACUGCCGCCCUUCCGCCUGUCUCGACACAGAGAGAAACUUUUUGUCUGGGCUGGUGAACGUGGCGGUGGUGGUGGUGGUGUGUGUGGCAGUGUUUGAGCCAAGGUGGUUCUGGAUGGAGGGCGGCGGAUGCUCCACAAAUAGUCUGAGCCUCUACAUCUUCUUCCUCGCUGGGCAGUUUGUCCGGGUCAACACUGGCGCCUCCUCCUCCACCUUCUACCCUGCUCCUGGUGAUGCGCCCUCCUCCUCCGCCUCCUCUUCCUCCUCUGACGCCAGUGCCUCCUAUAUCUACUACAUUGAUGGCCAAGAGCUGGAGCUGUGUGUGACGCCCCACAUCGUGUCGCUGCUGCAGGUGGUGAUUGGCCUGGUGUUCCUGAUGGUGUGUGGUGCCGCGGUGCAACUGACGCUGGAUUUGGCUGGGUCUGCUGGGAAGGCGGCACGGUGUCUUAGGAGGAAUGCCUUACCGAGCAUUGUGGCAGUGUGGGCAUGUGUGGCCAGCGUGGGUGUGUGUUACCGCCUGACAGUACUGCUGGAGGCGUUACAGGAAGCUACCAAGCCACUACACGGCCUCUCCGCUAUGGACAGAGUGCAGGUUAAAUUUGAUGUGGGAUUCUACCUUCUGGUGCUUGGAGGUGGCUUAUCGGUGCUGGCAGUGGGGUGUAGCUGGCUUCGUCCUGCACACAUCUUCCAGCUCCCAGACAGUGCACCCCUUAUGGAAGACUGUGGAUUGGACGGCCUGGACUCCCUCGGUGGGCCUGGAAGUUCUCCUGGUUACCCCUGCCUAAUGGACCGUGAACCCCCACCACCACUAGAAGGCAACCCCCCACCCCCAUACACCCCCUAGAGUGCCAUUGGGGAAGUGCUGGGCCAGAGGAAGCAUGAAAACAGCAUUUGAGGCAAGGAGUGAGUGCCUGUCCUCUUAGUUGGCACUCUGCUGGCCACACAUCGCUUGUCACAUCACAUCAUAGCCGUGGUCCCAGUAAGCCUUCCUGGAGUACCAUCACCAAGUCGCCCUGUCACCAAGUCGCACAUCACUGCACCUCACCAAGGGAUAGGAUAGCUACCCUUCGUCUGCCUCAGUGGCUCAUCACCGCAUGCCUCAGAUUUCAACAGUGCAAGGUCCUCACAGCCAGCCUCUCACUCACUGCCUUUUACUCAUUUUCUCUCAGUUAUUCCUUAAGUAUAUGUCACGUUCAGUUAAGUUAGGCAAAUUAUUCAAGUUUUUGCUCUUUCCAGUCAAUUAUUCACUGUGGUUUUCAUUUUUUGGCUAUUUUUUUUUCCUUAUAUUACGAGUCAUUUUGUCUCGGUUUUUUUUCUUAAGUGUAUGUCACGUUCAGUUAAGUUAGGCAAAUUAUUCAAGUUUUUGCUAUUUCCGGUCAAUUUCAUUUUUCACAUUUCGACUAAUUUUUUUCUCAGUUUUUCGUUAUGUUGUGAGAUUAAGCAAAUUUUUCGAGUUUUUGCUCUUUCCGGUCAAUCAUUCACUGUGAUUUAAAUUUUUUGGCUUCAUUUUUCACAUUAUGACUCAUUUUCUUUCAGUUCAGUUACAUUAAGUCAGUAAUUGGAGGGGUUCUAAAUAUUUCUGGCCAAUCGUUCACUGCAGGUUUAAUUUUAUGGCUUAUCACUCAUUUUUACAUCAGUUUUUGUUCAAGUAUAGGUCACAUUCAAUUAAAUUAAACAAAAUAUUCAAAUUUUUGCUUUUUCUGGCCAAUCAUUCACUGCAGUUUUAAUUUUAUAUCUUAUUACUCAUUUUUACCCCAGUUUUUCCUCAAUCAUUGGUCACGUGCAACAAUAUUAUGCAAGUUAUUGGGGUUCUUCUAUUUCCAGCCCCUCAUUCACUGCUGUUUCAAUUCUACACCUUAUUUUGGCUUUGUUUUUCCCAUUAAGUAUUGUUCAAGUGCAGGCAAGUUAGGCUAAAGUUAGGUCUUGCUAUUCACAGGGAUUAAGUGUCUUGAGUUAACAUUCUUGCCUCAAAAAGUGAUAAAUUGACUUAGUUUCUUCCACUCCUACAUCCACUUAGCAUUGCCAGUGUUGGAAUGUCCCACUGUGAACUAUUUAUUGUCUUGACUCACACCAAAGCUACCACUGUCACUAACUCUCUGACUGGGGUGUGUUUGGGAGGAGUUGAUCUCUUCAGUACCAGGACACACUUUCAUAUUCAUUCUGGUGACUAUUUGGCAAUUUCACACAGCUUCAGAAACUUAUAUUGGGAUUAGAAUUGUAAAGACUCUGGCCAUUAAUCUUCUGACGUCCAUAGAUCCUUCUUAAUGCAAAUAAAAUCAUCUAUGAGUAAUCACACUUAAAAAUCAUGGUAAAAAUGUGUCUCAGUACUGGAGGGUUAGAUCAAGAUGGCAUUUUACAGUAGGCGACUCACACUAGCAAGAUGGCAGUGUAGGAUAGUGUAGGAUGAGUGUAUAGUGAUAGGGGGCAGAUGAGGGCCUUUGCACCUUGGCACCAUCACAUCACACCCAGUCACCCAAGCUCUGGCUAUCACCUCACAUUUCCUCCUUUAGUCAGAGCUUGAGAAGAUGAACAUUUUCCCCUCGGUUGUGCCUCCAUGUUCCUCUUCGUAGCUACUUAGGCCUUGAGCAUAGACCUAUUUUUGUGAGCUGAGUGAUAGGACAAUUGAGUAAGUGAUAGAAGGGAAGGGUCUCGGUGGAAGUGUCAUCAAUGCAGUGCUGCUCGACCAGUGCCGCCUGCUGUCACUGCUGCUUAUGUUUGAGACAUCUGGUGUGCACUUCAAUCAUGCAGGUUCAGUGUGAGCAGGCAAACGUUGAAGCGAGCAGGCACGUUUUGUAAUUCCGCGUAUCUGUGGGAACAUUGCCGGACACUUCCACCUUCUAAUAGUCAAAAAAAAAGAUGUUUGUUGCCUUGAAUUCUAGUAUGUAACUUUGUGUGUAAAAUGUGGUGGAUUCUCUACCUUAUAAUGCCUUGCAGACCAUUUCAUUAUGCACAUUGUAAUCUUAAAACCUUUGGGAAGUACAGCUCUGCCUUGUAACAAUCAGUAACACAAGGGAAGGAAGCCACAGGUCCCAUUAUGCUGUGGCUUUGAGGGUCUCGAGAAUCAGCUAUGUAAACGGAGUGCCUCGCUGCUGUGAAUGUGCAUUAGUCUCCAGCAGCAUGCAAAUCAGUGUGGCUUGUCUUGCAGCAUCUCCAUGUUAACCCACCACUCAGCUAUAUGGAGGCUUGAGUCAGUGUUCAGCUGGCAUGGCUCUGCGUGUUCAGUACCCAAGCAACAUGAAGCACUUGUCGCCUCUACUCAGAUUCUAUGUUCGAUUGGAAUGUGGUAUGUUUGCGUGUGUGUGUGUGUGACAAGUCCCUACUCUUGUCAAUUUCUCAGUCCUGUUUUUCUUCCUCCUCAUUGGAAAACAUGGAAAAUUAUACAAAGAUGAAAUACUGACUUCCAGAUUUAAGCUUUACUCUGAAACACUUCUGGCUGCACCUCCACUACUCCACUACUUUCAUAAGGCUCUAGUUGAAGUAAUACAGGUUUUCAAGAGUGUUUUUUACAGUUGAGUGACAGAUUUACAAGAUUCCUACGCUGUCAGCAGGAGAAACACUUGAGAACCCAGCUGAUCAUGUGUCUGGCCUUGCAGGAUAGUAGUGGUGAGGGCAGAGGGUUUCAUGGUACAGCUUGAUGGAUUAUAAUGCUUAAUUCAUUGUCACUUCAAGAUAUGAGAGUUAGGAAUGAGUAACAAGAUUCGGGUGCUAUAAAUCAGUUUGUUUAUUGCACUGUUGAUUGUCUCUAUUUCAAGAUCUGAGGGUAAAGGAAUGUAACGUCUUUCAAUCUUCAUUCUCUCUGUUCCAAGAUUUGAGUUAGGAAUGAGUAAAAAGAUUUGUGUGUUAUGAAUUAUCUUACUUAAUUUUACUGUUGCUUCUCUGUGUUUCAAGAUUGAUGGUAAAGGAAUGUAGCGUCUUUCAAUCUUCAUUCUCUUUGUUCCAAGAUUUGAGUUUGGAAUAUAACAAGAUCUGUGUGUUAUGAACCAGUUUAGUUAAUUUCACUGUUGGUUCUCUGUGUUUCAAGAUCUGAGGGUAAAGGAAUAUAGCUUCUUUCAACCUUCAUUCUCUAUUCCAAGGUCUGAGUUAGGAAUGAGUAACAAGACCUGUAUGUUAUGAAUCAGUUUGUUUAUUUCACUAUUGGUUCUUUCAACUUUCAUUCUCUCUGUUCCAAGAUUUGAGUUUGGAAUGUAAUAAGAUCUGUGUGUUAUGAAUCAGUUUAGUUAAUUUCACUGUUGCUUCUGUAUCAAGAUCUGAGGGUAAAGGAAUAUAGCUUCUUUCAAUCUUCAUUCUCUUAGUUCCAAGAUCUGAGAGUUAGGAAUGAGUGACAAGAUCUGACAGUUAGGAAUUAAUUUAGUUUAUUUUGCUGUUCAUUCUUAGUUUCACGAUUUGAGUUAGGAAUAGUAGCAAGAUCUGAGGAUUAUGAAUCAAUUUUGUUUAUUUUUACUGUUGAUUCUCUAUUUUGAGAUCAAAGGGUUAGGAAUCAAGUUAGCUUAUUUCUCUUCUCAUUCUCUCCACCUCACAAUCUAAGAAUUUAUUUUUACUGUUGAUUCUCUAUUUCAAGAUCAAAGGGUUAGGAGUCAGGUUAGCUUAUUUAACUGCCCAUUCUCUCCACCUUAUGAUCUGAGUAAGUGUAGCAAGGUCUGAGAGUUGGGAAGGAGUAUGACAUUUCACUGCUCAUUUCCUGUGUUUCAAGAUCUAAGUUGGGAAUUGAGUUAGCUUAUUUCACUGUCCAUUCUCUCCACCUUAUGAUCUGAGAGUUAAGUGUAGCAAGAUCUGAGAGUUAGGAUGGAGUAUGACUAAUUUCACUUCUUUUUUCUUUACUUUACGAUCUGAGUGUUAGGUAUGAUUAGUGUGAAUUUGGUGAUCUUCCUGUGUGACCCGAUGACAGUGCCUGGCUGGUGAGGAGAGGGAGCGGAUGAAGGGUUUUGUGAGGUCGCAAGUCAGGUCAAGCUUGGUGGAUGUGCUUGUCCUUGUGACCUUGCAGUUUGUUGUGUUUUCUGAUGUUUAUUGACAUGUUUAUUAGUUUAAGUCUAAUGAUUAGUGAGUGUUAUUGUACUUCAAAUGUUUUCUUUGUACAUACAGUAUUAUAUAUAUAUUAUGUGAUUUAUAUAGCAAGAUGAGAGGCUACAGUAUUUAUUUUGUGAUUCUGCUUUAUGUUGUGAUUGUUUACAUUCCAUUGUGUUCUCAUUAUACUGUGUUGAGUGAAUGAGAAUGAGUGACUUUCCACCUACACGGCACUCACUCCACCACUCCAGGGAGGCUGUGGCUGCAGCUGUCACCCAUGCUGCACACCUCUGCCACCCCAGUGUGUACCACCAGAGCCAUACCACCACCCCACUUUCUCACCCACUGGUUGGCCUAAGUGUUCCUGUCUUCACCAGUGAUUUGCAUACACAUGUCAUGGCUCCAGGCCUGGCAAUACACACAUUUGUAAGUCUGGAGACAUACAACAGUCCCAACACAAUGCCUUGAAGGAUGUGGUGACUUGAAGCAAAGUCUCACAAAUGAGUUCAAUGGUGUUACUUAAUUCAGAGGUGGUGUUCACUGUUGCUGGAGUGUGGCUUUGUGGCGCACACACAGUCAGGGCUUGGCUGCAGCAGCGGCCUCUUGUGACACACACACACCACACUGUUUGGAGUGUGUGUGUCAGAGAGAACCACUGGUGUUGUGUCCCACUCCUGGUGCCUCUCGUGUGUGUGUGUGUGUGUGUGUGUGUGUGUGUGUGUGUGUGUGUGUGUGUGUGUGAGAGGGGCAGGCUGCCAGUACUGCCACACAGUGUUGUGGGGGAGGAGCACACUUCUCCUGCUGCUGCUGCUGCUGCAGGUCUUGUUAGUCAGAGUACCUUGUGAUACAAUCUUGCUUAGACAUAUUUUCUCUAACAAUAAAAGGUUAAUGUGAUAAUUCAUUAGCAAGUAUGCAUA